RNAcentral lists this ribosomal RNA (404 nucleotides) under uncultured Coriobacteriia bacterium. RNAcentral's name for it is "bacterial SSU rRNA". It matches the Rfam family "Bacterial small subunit ribosomal RNA", at positions 355 to 776 of the family's 1533-position model. The record is from RNAcentral. Lineage: Bacteria; Bacillati; Actinomycetota; Coriobacteriia.
UGGGGAAUUUUGCGCAAUGGGCGAAAGCCUGACGCAGCAACGCCGCGUGCGGGAUGAAGGCCUUCGGGUUGUAAACCGCUUUCAGCAGGGAUGAAACUGACAGUACCUGCAGAAGAAGCCCCGGCUAAAUACGUGCCAGCAGCCGCGGUAAUACGUAUGGGGCAAGCGUUAUCCGGAUUCAUUGGGCGUAAAGAGCGCGUAGGCGGAUUGUUAAGCGCGAUGUGAAAACUGGGGGCUCAACCCGCAGCCUGCAUCGCGAACUGGCAGUCUUGAGUCUGGUAGAGGAAAGUGGAAUUCCCAGUGUAGCGGUGAAAUGCGCAGAUAUUGGGAGGAACACCAGUGGCGAAGGCGGCUUUCUGGGCCACGACUGACGCUGAGGCGCGAAAGCUAGGGGAGCAAACAGG